Molecule: ribosomal RNA, 172 nt
Filed under: uncultured Clostridium sp.
Lineage: Bacteria; Bacillati; Bacillota; Clostridia; Eubacteriales; Clostridiaceae
Also listed under: 1 other name
Description: partial 16S ribosomal RNA
Rfam family: Bacterial small subunit ribosomal RNA
Source: RNAcentral
ACUCCUACGGGAGGCAGCAGUGGGGAAUAUUGCACAAUGGGGGAAACCCUGAUGCAGCAACGCCGCGUGAGUGAUGACGGUCUUCGGAUUGUAAAGCUCUGUCUUCAGGGACGAUAAUGACGGUACCUGAGGAGGAAGCCACGGCUAACUACGUGCCAGCAGCCGCGGUAAU